UACGUAGGGUGCAGGCGUUAAUCGGAAUUACUGGGCGUAAAGCGUGCGCAGGCGGUCUUUUAAGUCAGAUGUGAAAUCCCCGGGCUUAACCUGGGAACUGCGUUUGAAACUGGAAGGCUAGAGUGUGGCAGAGGGGGGUGGAAUUCCACGUGUAGCAGUGAAAUGCGUAGAGAUGUGGAGGAACACCGAUGGCGAAGGCAGCCCCCUGGGCUAACACUGACGCUCAGGCACGAAAGCGUGGGGAGCAAACAGG
RNAcentral lists this ribosomal RNA (253 nucleotides) under uncultured bacterium. RNAcentral describes it as "partial 16S ribosomal RNA". It matches the Rfam family "Bacterial small subunit ribosomal RNA", at positions 524 to 776 of the family's 1533-position model. The record is from RNAcentral.